CUCUUAUCCAGAGCGGUGGAGGGAUCGGCCCUUUGAAACCGCGGCAACCUCGUCCAUGUGACGAACGGUGCUAACUCCGACAGAGAUGUCUGAAAGAUGAGAG
RNAcentral lists this non-coding RNA (103 nucleotides) under Chloroflexota bacterium. RNAcentral's name for it is "Chloroflexi bacterium SAM-I sequence". It matches the Rfam family "SAM riboswitch aptamer (S box leader)". From Rfam's summary of the family: The SAM riboswitch is found upstream of a number of genes which code for proteins involved in methionine or cysteine biosynthesis in Gram-positive bacteria. The record is from RNAcentral. Lineage: Bacteria; Bacillati; Chloroflexota.